RNAcentral lists this ribosomal RNA (96 nucleotides) under Mecistogaster amalia. Its description in RNAcentral is "partial 16S ribosomal RNA". The record is from RNAcentral. Lineage: Eukaryota; Metazoa; Arthropoda; Insecta; Odonata; Coenagrionidae.
AGCCAGGUCGGUUUCUAUCCUCAAUUUUUUAAUAUUUUUUAGUACGAAAGGACCAUUAAUAAAUAAAAAUUUUAUUACUUCUUUGAACCCUAUUAA